This 365-nucleotide long non-coding RNA is filed under the name Heterocephalus glaber (naked mole-rat). Its description in RNAcentral is "lncRNA (ENSHGLG00000032681.1)". The record is from RNAcentral. Lineage: Eukaryota; Metazoa; Chordata; Mammalia; Rodentia; Bathyergidae.
CGCAGGGCCUGGUCACGUGAGGGAAACACUGCGGGCCCCAGGCUGCGGACGGAGCCUGGAGAGCCCUGUCCUGUUUCCCUCCGCGCUGAAGUCAGGCUGUCAGGAAACCUGGCCCGUCUCCCGCUAAGCGACCUAGACCUCCACCCUCGCAUCACUACAUGCGAAUUAUACCUCUGGAUCGAACUUGGGACCUUGCGCUUGCCAGGCAGGUGGCGGAACCACUGAGCUAAAUCCCUGGCUCGGCUGAGUGAAUUUUUGAUAGGACAAAUGUCCCACUGCGUUAUCUGCGUGAGGGGGAAGUCAGCCUGUGAAUUGUGGAUACAAAAGUCCCUUUUCCCCUUAUCCUCAGCUGGGAGACUUUUCCC